UUUUGUUUUAAAUAGUUGUCGAAAUCUAGUUCAAAUAUUGGAGAAAUAAGAUUUAGUGAACUGAUUGAAAAUAUAUUUAGGUGCGUUUUGCUCAUUUUAAGGGAUUGCAAUUGUAUUUUGGUUUGUCAAAUUUUUUUGUUUUAAAUAGUUUCCGAAAUCUAGUUUAAAUUUUGGAGAAAUUUGCGUGAUAUAUGGGAUUAGAAUAUAUUUGGAAUAUUUUUUGUUUGUUAAUCAAUUUAUUGCCAAAAGAAAACCAAUAAUUAAAAGCCAGUGACAGGCAUUGUAAAUAAGUUCGAACUCCAGGAUUUAUUUCACAAAAUAUCUGCAAAAAUGUAUAUAUAGAUAUAAACGGAUGGUGUAGAAAAAAAUAUAUUCUGAAAUGGUUAAAAAAUUUGAAGAAUAAAGCGAAACAAUACAUUUCUCCUCAUUUUUUCUUUCUUCCUAAAACAUGGUUAUCGGUUAAAACCUAAGACGUUAAAAGAUAUUUAAAUAUAGUAGAUAGUAGAUGAACUAAUAUGGU
Molecule: small RNA, 520 nt
Filed under: Arabidopsis thaliana (thale cress)
Lineage: Eukaryota; Viridiplantae; Streptophyta; Magnoliopsida; Brassicales; Brassicaceae
Description: ATSL213540
Source: RNAcentral